Molecule: transfer RNA, 77 nt
Filed under: Tepiditoga spiralis
Lineage: Bacteria; Thermotogati; Thermotogota; Thermotogae; Petrotogales; Petrotogaceae
Description: Oceanotoga sp. sy52 tRNA-Arg
Rfam family: tRNA
About the family: Transfer RNA (tRNA) molecules are approximately 80 nucleotides in length. Their secondary structure includes four short double-helical elements and three loops (D, anti-codon, and T loops).
Source: RNAcentral
GCACCUGUAGCUCAACUGGAUAGAGCGUCGGACUUCGGAUCCGAAGGUUGUGGGUUCGAACCCCGCUAGGUGCGCCA